Sapajus apella (tufted capuchin) is the source of this 1735-nucleotide RNA transcript. It is a transcript of the gene named WAS protein family homolog 2-like, with no coding region annotated. The record is from RefSeq and is a predicted model, not a curated record. Lineage: Eukaryota; Metazoa; Chordata; Mammalia; Primates; Cebidae. The transcript has 10 exons.
GCUCUGAUGCUCCAGCUCCCACCCACGGGCACCAUGACUCCUGUGAAGACCCAGCACUCCCUGGUAAAUCAGACGUAUGCCGUGCCCCUCAUCCAGCCAGACCUGCGGCGAGAGGAGGCCAUCCAGCAGAUGGUGGAUGCCCUGCAGUACCUGCAGAAGGUCUCUGGAGACAUCUUCAGCAGGAUCUCCCAGUGGGUAGAGCAGAGCCAGAGCCAGGUGCAGGCCAUCGAGGAGAAGGUCUCCUUGGCCCAGGCCAAGAUUGAGAAGAUCAAGGGCAGUAAGAAGGCCAUCAAGGUGUUCUCCAGUGCCAAGUACCCUGUUCAGAGCACCUGAAGGAAUAUGGCUCCAUCUUCACAGGUGUCCAGGACCCUGGCUUGCAGAGACGACCCUGCCACAGGAUCCAGAGCAAGCAUGGCAGGCCCUGCAGGUCUGCUGCCUCCCAGGAGAAGCUGAAGUACUUUCCUGUGUGCAUGAGUGCCAAGCUGGAGCCCGAGGAUGACGCAGAAGAGAGGCUUGGGGUCUUCCCAGAAACAUCAGUUGUGUCAGCUCCUUGUUGCUCUUCAACACCACCAAGAUCUUGUACAAGAAGUAUGUCUUCCUGGACUCCCUGGCUGGUGCUGUAACAAAGACCCAUGUGAUGCUGGGGGUGGAGACGGAGGAGAAGCUGUUUGAUGCCCCCUUCUCCAUCAGCAAGAGAGAGCAGCUGGAGCAGCAGGUUCCAGAGAACUACUAGGUGCCAGACCUGGGCCAAUACCUGAGAUUGGUGUGCUAUCCUACCUGUCCGACCUGCCCGGCAUUGCCAACGACCUCAUGUACAGUGCUGACCUGGGCCCCAGCAUUGCCCCCUCUGCCCCUGGCACCAUUCCAGAACUGUCCACCUUCCACACUGAGGUAGCCGAGCCUCUCAAUCCAGACCUAGAAGAUGGGGUGUUCACAGCACCCCCAUCACCUCCCCCAGCUCCUGAGGUGCUGGCCAGUGCACCCCCCACUCCCUCAGCCCUGGCCCCUGUAGGCCCAGGCACCAGGCAGGACGGCGGCAGCAGCCAUGUGUCUCCUUCAGUUGAGGGAGCUCUCAGGGAAGUGGUUGACCCUUCUGAGGGCCAGACCACUCUGCUACAGUCCAUCCACCAAGCGGUGGGGGCAUCGGCAAGGCCAAGCUGCACAGCGUGAGGGAGCAAAAGCUGGAGAAGCAGCAGCAGGAGCAGGAGCAAGUGAGAGCCACGAACCAAGGUGGGGACCUGAUGUCGGAUCUCUUCAACAAGCUGAUAAUGAGGUGCAAGGGCAUCUCUGGGAAAGGACCUGGGGCUGGUGAGGGACCUGGAGGAGCCUUUGCCCACGUGUCAGACUCCGUCCCUCCUCUGCCGCCACCACAUGAGCCACAGGCAGAGGAGGAUGAGGACGACUGGGAAUCCUAGACUUGGGCCACUGCUCCGACAUGGACACAGCCAGGACAAGCUCCUCAGACCCGUUGCCCUAGGAGGGGGCGGUGAAGGAACUGUCCCGGGACUGUGCAGGGACCACCUUUAGGGAGUGAGAGGCUGGCCUGAGGCCACAGGGCUAGGGCGGGGGCUUCUGUAUGCCUGUGUUCCACCGGGGGACAGCUCCACCCAGCCUGCACCAGUGUGCUCUUCUCUUCCCUAAAGAGGCUUCUAGAGAAAACCGAAGCACAAAUCAAAAAAGAACUGAGCAGAAACCAACAGUGCACUUUUAAUAAAAGACCUCUAGCUGUGCAGGA